GCCGGCUCGCUGAGGUGGGCCCUGAGGGGCGGGAGCGCCCUCCGGGAAAGGUGGUGGUCUCCAGGCUGGGGUUUGCCGUCCCCGUCCCGUUUCUCCCCGCUCCGGGGCCGCUGGCGGGGCGCGGAGGCCGGGCGAGGUGGAGAGGCCUGAGGUGGGGUCCAAGAGCUGGGUUUCGGCUUGAGCUGUUUGAGAGUUCUCCAGAACAAAAGCUGACAGGGGCCUCUUUUCUCUCCGGUCGCCUUCCCCGCGUGUGGAAGUUCUCCUGUAUCUUCUGAAGGACAGUUCCUCUACGCAAAUUUAGAUAUGCGGUAGCUUGAAAGGCUCUCACCGGGACAGGUAAACCAGAAGAACCGGGUGGUGUGUAGCCGUGGCAACAGCGGUGGUGCUUCGGCUGGGUGUAUUGAGGCGGUUGUUCUCAUCUGCAGCAGGAUAUGCAGUGUGGUUUCCUUGUCUUGAAACGACCAAGGUUAUAUAGUUCUCAACAGGUUCAGCUGAGAAAGGCAUAAGGUGUCCUUGUGUCAUGGGAGUCUGUGGACGGAGAGGAAAAUGGGGAGGCUGUGCUGGUGAGCAGGAAAUGCCCAUGUUAUCAGCAGGUAAGGGGAGCUUAGCAAGAGGUGGAAAGAAGACAAAACAAUUCACAAAAUAAUGGAGGAAGGGAAGAAAUGGCAGGAGGGGGAAGAUGAAAUGGACUAUAGAGACAGCACAGAAAGGGUAAAUUAUAUUCUAGGGGGGAAAAAGGAAUGGAAAAAAAAAAAGGGAAAUUAAAAUGUCAAGAAAGAAUGCAAGAAACAAGGAAAGUAAGCUAAUCCUGUCUUUUAGUAGGCAUUUUGGUGGAGAACCUGUCAGCAUAGAUUUUAAGGAUCAUGAACUCUCCUUGUGCAGAGGUUGUGGCUAGGACCAGCCACUUUGGAGCAGGAAGCCAGCAACCUUUUCACACACACAGUUGUCAAAUCUGCUGUCCAACAGUGAAUGCCUGCUGGGGCCAUUCACUUCUCCCCCAAAACAGGCUUCUUUUUUUAUGCUGAUGUCAAACGAUGUUUUUAUCAAUGCAAGUGGCUACUUCAGUCUCCUACAAAUAGAUAGUAGGAUGUAUUUUGUGGACUGAUAUUACUGUGUAGAAAGCACUUUCUCCGUUAGGUUUUGGGUGAUCAACUCUGGUCUGGUAUCUCGUACUGGUAUUGAAGUAUUUUAUCAGUGGAAGCUCUGCAUGCCUUCGCUUUGUCUGAUUUAUACCAAAUCCCUUUUCUAAUCCUUUGCUAAAUGUUGCAUCUCUUUAUAUGGUGCCUUUAUUUUGUUUUCAUUGACAUCGUGUAAGCCUUUGCUAUUUUAACAGUAUUGUUUUGGAGUUGCAGCCAAAUGGAGUAUUGUAGUGUGAGUGAUGGUAUUUUGUCUGUCUUUGUGCAAUGUUAGAGUAGCUUCCACAUCGUUCUUCCUUUCUUUUAAUUCUUUCUUUGCCCUUUUGACUGUCCUUGCUUAGAGUCUUUCGUUUGUCUGUCUGGUGAUGCUUUGAGUAUCCAGUGAUACUCAAAUACUGCCUUAUGUAGUGAUUAAUUGCUCUCUACCCCAGUAACUUGUAUAAUUAGCACAGAUUUUUCCUAUAGUGCAGCAGUCUAAAGCUAUCUGUACUGAAUUUGAACAGCGUGGUGGCAGCUGCUCUUGUCUAAGUCCUAGAAUUUAUUGGUUUUCUUAAGUCCCUGUAAACCCCAACAGCAUGAUUACUUUAGAUUGCUGAGCUGCUUGGCACUCAGCCCUUACCCACAUGCGGGCACAGUUCUUUGGUCUGAAGGUGAUUUCAUGUUCUGGGCAGGCAGGCAACAGGUGAUUGUACAAGUGACAUGGGGAAAGGUGGAGAACCUGAGGGAGAUCAGAAAGGGCAACAGCGCUGUCAUCCCUAAGAAGAUGGAGGGCAAGGGUGCUUGUGGGAGCCCAAGCAAGAGAGGAUAGCAAGCUGCGGUAAGAUAAGUGGAAAGGGUGUUUUGGGGAAGCAGUGUAAUGAAGUAGUGCUGUAUUCACGUUUCCUUUGUCCCUUGUGCGGCAAACUGGAUAUAUGGUGUUCCCUUAACUCUCCUUGGAGGACUAACGAGUGUGGACAGAGCAGAGUUCCUGGGUGUUCAGAACAAGCAAAAAGAAAACAUUUCUUGAGGCAGCGCUUGAACAUGCUCAUUACGUUUUCUGGAUGAUGUGAGUAGAUUCUGAAGCAGAAAGUCUUGGUCAUUGCCAAGAUGAGAGUGACUGGGUUGAUGAGUCCAUGCUCUGAGCCCACGUGACUGACCUCAUGUUGCUUCCGGAAUUCAGCAGCAGAUUUGGGCAGAGCAUGCAGAAACCUUGUGUCCUGGGGCAGUGUAUUGGGUUUGCAUGGCAAGGUUUUGGUAGCAGGGGGGGGGCUACAGGGGUGGCUUCUGUGAGAAGAUGCCAGAAGCUUCCCCCAUGUCCCAUUAGCUCAGCCUUGGUCAAGGCCUCUGUCAGCAACGGUGGCAGCACCUCUGUGGCAAGAUAUUUAAGAAAGGG
Aquila chrysaetos chrysaetos is the source of this 2508-nucleotide long non-coding RNA. RefSeq lists it as uncharacterized. The transcript has 2 exons. The record is from RefSeq and is a predicted model, not a curated record. Lineage: Eukaryota; Metazoa; Chordata; Aves; Accipitriformes; Accipitridae.